RNAcentral lists this transfer RNA (76 nucleotides) under Gammaproteobacteria bacterium. Its description in RNAcentral is "tRNA-Val". It matches the Rfam family "tRNA". From Rfam's summary of the family: Transfer RNA (tRNA) molecules are approximately 80 nucleotides in length. Their secondary structure includes four short double-helical elements and three loops (D, anti-codon, and T loops). Further hydrogen bonds mediate the characteristic L-shaped molecular structure. tRNAs have two regions of fundamental functional importance: the anti-codon, which is responsible for specific mRNA codon recognition, and the 3' end, to which the tRNAs corresponding amino acid is attached (by aminoacyl-tRNA synthetases). tRNAs cope with the degeneracy of the genetic code in two manners: having more than one tRNA (with a specific anti-codon) for a particular amino acid; and 'wobble' base-pairing, i.e. permitting non-standard base-pairing at the 3rd anti-codon position. Lineage: Bacteria; Pseudomonadati; Pseudomonadota; Gammaproteobacteria. The record is from RNAcentral.
AGGCGCGUAGCUCAGGGGUAGAGUGCUGCUAUUACAUAGCGGAGGUCGGAGGUUCGAAUCCUUCCCGCGCCUACCA